Molecule: ribosomal RNA, 253 nt
Filed under: uncultured bacterium
Lineage: Bacteria
Description: partial 16S ribosomal RNA
Rfam family: Bacterial small subunit ribosomal RNA
Source: RNAcentral
UACGUAGGGGGCAAGCGUUGUCCGGAUUUAUUGGGCGUAAAGAGCGUGUAGGCGGCCAGGUAGGUCAGCUGUGAAAACUCGAGGCUCAACCUCGAGACGCCGGUUGAAACCAUCUGGCUAGAGUCCGGAAGAGGAGAGUGGAAUUCCUGGUGUAGCGGUGAAAUGCGCAGAUAUCAGGAGGAACACCGGCGGCGAAGGCGGCCCUCUGGACCGUUGCUGACGCUGAGACGCGAAAGCGUGGGGAGCAAACAGG